RNAcentral lists this ribosomal RNA (484 nucleotides) under uncultured bacterium. RNAcentral's name for it is "partial 16S ribosomal RNA". It matches the Rfam family "Bacterial small subunit ribosomal RNA", at positions 30 to 507 of the family's 1533-position model. The record is from RNAcentral.
AUUGAACGCUGGCGGCAGGCCUAACACAUGCAAGUCGAGCGGAUGAAGGGAGCUUGCUCCUGGAUGCAGCGGCGGACGGGUGAGUAAUGCCUAGGAAUCUGCCUGGUAGUGGGGGAUAACGUCCGGAAACGGGCGCUAAUACCGCAUACGUCCUGAGGGAGAAAGUGGGGGAUCUUCGGACCUCACGCUAUCAGAUGAGCCUAGGUCGGAUUAGCUAGUUGGUGGGGUAAAGGCCUACCAAGGCGACGAUCCGUAACUGGUCUGAGAGGAUGAUCAGUCACACUGGAACUGAGACACGGUCCAGACUCCUACGGGAGGCAGCAGUGGGGAAUAUUGGACAAUGGGCGAAAGCCUGAUCCAGCCAUGCCGCGUGUGUGAAGAAGGUCUUCGGAUUGUAAAGCACUUUUAGUUGGGAGGAAGGGCAGUAAGUUAAUACCUUGCUGUUUUGACGUUACCAACAGAAUAAGCACCGGCUAACUUCGUG